UACAGAGGUCUCAAGCGUUGUUCGGAUUCAUUGGGCGUAAAGGGCGCGUAGGCGGCGGGGUAAGCCGGGUGUGAAAUCUCAGAGCUCAACUCUGAAACUGCACUCGAUACUGCUCUGCUUGAGGACUGGAGAGGAGACUGGAAUUCACGGUGUAGCAGUGAAAUGCGUAGAUAUCGUGAGGAAGACCAGUGGCGAAGGCGGGUCUCUGGACAGUUCCUGACGCUGAGGCGCGAAGGCCAGGGGAGCAAACGGG
This 253-nucleotide ribosomal RNA is filed under the name uncultured bacterium. Its description in RNAcentral is "partial 16S ribosomal RNA". It matches the Rfam family "Bacterial small subunit ribosomal RNA", at positions 524 to 776 of the family's 1533-position model. The record is from RNAcentral.